This 464-nucleotide ribosomal RNA is filed under the name uncultured bacterium. RNAcentral's name for it is "bacterial SSU rRNA". It matches the Rfam family "Bacterial small subunit ribosomal RNA", at positions 331 to 792 of the family's 1533-position model. The record is from RNAcentral.
CCAGACUCCUACGGGAGGCAGCAGUGAGGAAUAUUGGUCAAUGGGCGGAAGCCUGAACCAGCCAAGUCGCGUGAGGGAAGAAGGCCCUGCGGGUCGCAGACCUCUUUGGACGGGGAGCAAGGCCGCCGACGUGUCGGCGGAAGGAGAGUACCCGUAGAACAAGCAUCGGCUAACUCCGUGCCAGCAGCCGCGGUAAUACGGAGGAUGCGAGCGUUAUCCGGAUUUAUUGGGUUUAAAGGGUGCGUAGGCGGAUUUUUAAGUCAGCGGUAAAAUGUCCGGGCUCAACCCGGGCCGGCCGUUGAAACUGGGGAUCUUGAGUGGGCGAGAAGUAUGCGGAAUGCGUGGUGUAGCGGUGAAAUGCAUAGAUAUCACGCAGAACUCCGAUUGCGAAGGCAGCAUACCGGCGCCCGACUGACGCUGAGGCACGAAAGCGUGGGGAUCGAACAGGAUUAGAUACCCCAGUA